AAACAACAAUCUUGCUUUGUGAGAACUUCUUUUUCCUUUGAGUUUAUAUCUGUUGAGAUUUAAAAAAAAAAGUUGCAAAAAAAAAUGGCAGGAAAAAUGUGUAUGAUGAUGAUGGUGAUGAUGGUAUUGGUGAUAAUGAACUGUGGUCUAAAACCAUGUAAUGGAAUGGAUACUAACGUUCCCACACCACCGUCUCUCGCAGGGGAGGAACCUGAAACGCGACCACAAGACAUUGCUCACUGCUACCAACAAUGUAGCCUCAAAUGCGGCUCUGACGGAGAUUGCUUCGUAGCUUGUUUAAAGAAAUGCCGCGGAACCUCUACUCUUUUUUAAUUUCUCAUACAAAGAAUGAUUCAUGUUUUGUCUGUAAAACUAUGCGACCAAGGCAUGAAAAAACUGAUCAAUGAUAUAGAAGAACCAAAGAUAUAUUUGCAGAAAA
This is a long non-coding RNA of Brassica napus (rape), 439 nucleotides long. RefSeq lists it as uncharacterized. NCBI's taxonomy places the organism in Eukaryota, Viridiplantae, Streptophyta, Magnoliopsida, Brassicales, Brassicaceae. The transcript is spliced from 2 exons. The record is from RefSeq and is a predicted model, not a curated record.